This 326-nucleotide ribosomal RNA is filed under the name uncultured eukaryote. RNAcentral's name for it is "partial 18S ribosomal RNA". It matches the Rfam family "Eukaryotic small subunit ribosomal RNA", at positions 1470 to 1796 of the family's 1831-position model. The record is from RNAcentral.
CCCUUAGAUGUUCUGGGCUGCACGCGCGCUACACUGAUGCGUUCAUCGAGUUUACGCCCUGGCCCGGCAGGGUUGGGUAAUCUUUUGAAAACGCAUCGUGAUGGGGAUAGAUUAUUGCAAUUAUUAAUCUUCAACGAGGAAUUCCUAGUAAGCGCGAGUCAUCAGCUCGUGCUGAUUACGUCCCUGCCCUUUGUACACACCGCCCGCCGCUCCUACCGAUUGAGUGAUCCGGUGAAUAAUUCGGACUGCAGCAUUGUUCAGUUCCUGAACGUUGUCGCGGAAAGUCUAGUGAACCUUACCACUUAGAGGAAGGAGAAGUCGUAACA